UCCGGUUUGUCACCGGCAGUCUCAUUAGAGUGCCCAACUGAAUGUAGCAACUAAUGACAAGGGUUGCGCUCGUUGCGGGACUUAACCCAACAUCUCACGACACGAGCUGACGACGGCCAUGCAGCACCUGUGUCCAAGUUCUCUUUCGAGCACUCUCACAUCUCUGCGAGAUUCUUGGCAUGUCAAGGGUAGGUAAGGUUUUUCGCGUUGCAUCGAAUUAAACCACAUCAUCCACCGCUUGUGCGGGUCCCCGUCAAUUCCUUUGAGUUUUAGCCUUGCGGCCGUAGUCCCCAGGCGGCGGACUUAAUGCGUUAGCUGCGGCGCCGAGGGGGUCGAUACCCCCGACACCUAGUCCGCAUCGUUUACGGCGUGGACUAC
This 378-nucleotide unclassified non-coding RNA is filed under the name uncultured Gammaproteobacteria bacterium. Its description in RNAcentral is "contains 16S-23S intergenic spacer region". Lineage: Bacteria; Pseudomonadati; Pseudomonadota; Gammaproteobacteria. The record is from RNAcentral.